Molecule: transfer RNA, 66 nt
Filed under: Telenomus remus
Lineage: Eukaryota; Metazoa; Arthropoda; Insecta; Hymenoptera; Scelionidae
Description: tRNA-Val
Source: RNAcentral
AAAAUUUUAGUUUAAUUUAAAAUAUUUUAUUUACAUUAAAAAGAUUGGAAUUUUUCUUAAAUUUUA